Molecule: ribosomal RNA, 373 nt
Filed under: uncultured bacterium
Lineage: Bacteria
Description: bacterial SSU rRNA
Rfam family: Bacterial small subunit ribosomal RNA
Source: RNAcentral
CGGACGGGUGAGUAACACGUGGGAACGUGCCUUUAGGUUCGGAAUAGCUUCUGGAAACGGGUGGUAAUGCCGAAUGUGCCCUUCGGGGGAAAGAUUUAUCGCCUUUAGAGCGGCCCGCGUCUGAUUAGCUAGUUGGUGAGGUAACGGCUCACCAAGGCGACGAUCAGUAGCUGGUCUGAGAGGAUGACCAGCCACACUGGGACUGAGACACGGCCCAGACUCCUACGGGAGGCAGCAGUGGGGAAUCUUGCGCAAUGGGCGAAAGCCUGACGCAGCCAUGCCGCGUGAAUGAUGAAGGUCUUAGGAUUGUAAAAUUCUUUCACCGGGGACGAUAAUGACGGUACCCGGAGAAGAAGCCCCGGCUAACUUCGUG